Molecule: ribosomal RNA, 472 nt
Filed under: uncultured bacterium
Lineage: Bacteria
Description: bacterial SSU rRNA
Rfam family: Bacterial small subunit ribosomal RNA
Source: RNAcentral
UGGGGAAUUUUGGACAAUGGGCGCAAGCCUGAUCCAGCCAUGCCGCGUGUGGGAAGAAGGCCUUCGGGUUGUAAACCGCUUUUGUCAGGGAAGAAACGCUCUGGGCUAAUACCCUGGGGUAAUGACGGUACCUGAAGAAUAAGCACCGGCUAACUACGUGCCAGCAGCCGCGGUAAUACGUAGGGUGCAAGCGUUAAUCGGAAUUACUGGGCGUAAAGCGUGCGCAGGCGGUUAUGCAAGACAGAUGUGAAAUCCCCGGGCUCAACCUGGGAACUGCAUUUGUGACUGUAUAGCUAGAGUACGGUAGAGGGGGAUGGAAUUCCGCGUGUAGCAGUGAAAUGCGUAGAUAUGCGGAGGAACACCGAUGGCGAAGGCAAUCCCCUGGACCUGUACUGACGCUCAUGCACGAAAGCGUGGGGAGCAAACAGGAUUAGAUACCCUGGUAGUCCCUGAGCGGGCUGGCAAGGCGCAU